Molecule: long non-coding RNA, 928 nt
Organism: Micropterus dolomieu (smallmouth bass)
Lineage: Eukaryota; Metazoa; Chordata; Actinopteri; Centrarchiformes; Centrarchidae
Exons: 2
Source: RefSeq, a predicted model, not a curated record
GGUCGCUCGCGCACAACAAAGCUGCUCUGACGUCCCCUUAUCCUGUCUCCAAGGGGGGAGUCCACCACCAUCACUGAUAGCCAAGGAGAAUCCACAUGAACUCCCUCUGUUCUUAACAGCCACUGUUACGACGCAUGAAGGCGUGGCCCCUGACUGGGUACAUCAUCUCGAUGAAGGCAAGGGGCCCCACAGUGAUCUCGCUGGGGCCCUGCGCCUUGAAACCUGACUUCUGGUAGAAGGGAACCAGGAAGUCCUCGCACAUGAGCACAGCGCGGCGGACGUAGGGCAGGCAGCGGAGGUACUGCAGGUAGCGCCACAUCAGGAUGGAGCCUUUGCCCUGCUGGCGGAAGGUCCGGUGGACGGCCAAGACGUGGAUGUGGACGGUGGUCCCAUGAGGCUUAUGGAGAGUCAGGGCAUCCUGGGAAACCGAGAGGGAUUGCAGAGGUUCAUCCUGAGGUAAAUCACUGUCCAGGUGUCCUCCCCUCUGUCUCACCGUGGUAAGCCUCUCCUGGUCCCACAAUGAGCCGAUGAUGAAAGCCACCAGACGUCCUUCCUCGAACCAGCCAAGAGACAGCUCAGGACACAGGGUGAGGAAAUGACGCACCUCGUCCAGGUGGAGAGGACAUUCCCCGGACACUGAGAUGAAGGCUGUGAGGAGGAGGAGGAGUCAGUGUUGUCACAACCAAAUGUUAUAAAUUAAGAAGCCUGGAUGACACAAGUGGGAAUAAUGGUCCCUAUGUACUGAAUACCAAAAAUAUGAAGAUGUGAGAAAAGGAUAUAAGCUGGAUCACAGCCAGGGAUGUUAUGAGGGGGCAUUUAGGAAAGAGUUAAAUCCCUGUAUUAACUUCAAAGUAAGUCAAAUUAAAGAGAAGCUUACUAUUUUCUUUAAAUGUAAUUUAUGUUAAUAAAGGAGAGUUAUUUUCGGUGA